This 590-nucleotide ribosomal RNA is filed under the name Streptomyces sp. Its description in RNAcentral is "bacterial SSU rRNA". It matches the Rfam family "Bacterial small subunit ribosomal RNA", at positions 286 to 885 of the family's 1533-position model. The record is from RNAcentral. Lineage: Bacteria; Bacillati; Actinomycetota; Actinomycetes; Kitasatosporales; Streptomycetaceae.
GCCGGCCUGAGAGGGCGACCGGCCACACUGGGACUGAGACACGGCCCAGACUCCUACGGGAGGCAGCAGUGGGGAAUAUUGCACAAUGGGCGAAAGCCUGAUGCAGCGACGCCGCGUGAGGGAUGACGGCCUUCGGGUUGUAAACCUCUUUCAGCAGGGAAGAAGCGAGAGUGACGGUACCUGCAGAAGAAGCGCCGGCUAACUACGUGCCAGCAGCCGCGGUAAUACGUAGGGCGCAAGCGUUGUCCGGAAUUAUUGGGCGUAAAGAGCUCGUAGGCGGCUUGUCACGUCGGUUGUGAAAGCCCGGGGCUUAACCCCGGGUCUGCAGUCGAUACGGGCAGGCUAGAGUUCGGUAGGGGAGAUCGGAAUUCCUGGUGUAGCGGUGAAAUGCGCAGAUAUCAGGAGGAACACCGGUGGCGAAGGCGGAUCUCUGGGCCGAUACUGACGCUGAGGAGCGAAAGCGUGGGGAGCGAACAGGAUUAGAUACCCUGGUAGUCCACGCCGUAAACGGUGGGCACUAGGUGUGGGCAACAUUCCACGUUGUCCGUGCCGCAGCUAACGCAUUAAGUGCCCCGCCUGGGGGAGUACGG